This 589-nucleotide ribosomal RNA is filed under the name uncultured bacterium. RNAcentral describes it as "bacterial SSU rRNA". It matches the Rfam family "Bacterial small subunit ribosomal RNA", at positions 338 to 917 of the family's 1533-position model. The record is from RNAcentral.
CCUACGGGAGGCAGCAGUAGGGAAUCUUCCGCAAUGGACGAAAGUCUGACGGAGCAACGCCGCGUGAACGAUGAAGGCCUUCGGGUCGUAAAGUUCUGUUGUUAGGGAAGAACAAGUGUUAGUUGAAUAAGCUGGCACCUUGACGGUACCUAACCAGAAAGCCACGGCUAACUACGUGCCAGCAGCCGCGGUAAUACGUAGGUGGCAAGCGUUGUCCGGAAUUAUUGGGCGUAAAGCGCGCGCAGGCGGUUUCUUAAGUCUGAUGUGAAAGCCCCCGGCUCAACCGGGGAGGGUCAUUGGAAACUGGGAAACUUGAGUGCAGAAGAGGAAAGUGGAAUUCCAAGUGUAGCGGUGAAAUGCGUAGAGAUUUGGAGGAACACCAGUGGCGAAGGCGACUUUCUGGUCUGUAACUGACGCUGAGGCGCGAAAGCGUGGGGAGCAAACAGGAUUAGAUACCCUGGUAGUCCACGCUGUAAACGAUGAGUGCUAAGUGUUAGAGGGUUUCCGCCCUUUAGUGCUGAAGUUAACGCAUUAAGCACUCCGCCUGGGGAGUACGGUCGCAAGACUGAAACUCAAAUGAAUUGACCGG